GGAUAAGGAAAGUAAAGAAGGGCGCAUGGCGGAUGCCUUGGCUCUCGGAGGCGAUGAAGGACGUGAUAAGCUGCGAUAAGCUUUGGGGAGGUGCAAAUGACCUUUGAUCCAGAGAUUUCCGAAUGGGACAACCCAAUAUCUUGAAGAGGUAUUAUCCAACGUUGUUGGAGGCUAACGCAGGGAACUGAAACAUCUUAGUACCUGCAGGAAAAGAAAAUAAACAAUGAUUCCCCCAGUAGUGGCGAGCGAACGGGGAACAGCCCAAACCAUCCAUGUUACGGCAUGGGUGGGGUUGUAGGACUACGUCGUUGCAUGAAGACAUCAGAGAAGAACUUUCUGGAAAGAAAGACCAUAGAGCAUGACAGUUGCGUAUUCGAAUGUUGUCGAAGCAUAGUAGUAUCCUGAGUAGCGCGGAGCACGAGGAAUUCUGCGUGAAUCUGCCGGGACCAUCCGGUAAGGCUAAAUACUCCCGAGAGACCGAUAGCGAACCAGUACCGUGAGGGAAAGGUGAAAAGCACUUCGAACAGAAGAGUGAAAUAGUUCCUGAAACCGUGCGCCUACAAGCGGUCGGAGCUCGUUAAUGAGUGACGGCGUGCCUUUUGCAUAAUGAACCUACGAGUUGCCUUUGCCGGCAAGGUUAAGUGUGACGACACACGUAUCCGAAGCGAAAGCGAGUCUGAACAGGGCGUAUAGUCGGCAGUGGCAGACGCGAAACCAAGUGAUCUACCCUUGGCCAGGUUGAAGGCUGGGUAACACCAGCUGGAGGACCGCACCAAUAAGCGUUGAAAAGCUUCUGGAUGAGCUGAGGGUAGGGGUGAAAGGCUAAUCAAACUUGGAGAUAGCUCGUACUCCCCGAAAUGCAUUUAGGUGCAGCCUUGCGGGUUACUGAUGUGAGGUAGAGCGACUGAUAAGAUGCGAGGGCUUCACCGCCUAUCAAGUCUUGACAAACUCCGAAUGCGCAUCAGUUCUACCGCAGGAGUGAGGGCAUGGGUGCUAAGGUCCGUGCCCGAGAGGAGAAGAAUCCGGACCACCUGCUAAGGUCCCGAAAUGACAGCUAAGUUAAACUAACGAAGUCUGACUGCUAAGACAGCUAGGAUGUUGGCUUGGAAGCAGCCAUUCAUUUAAAGAGUGCGUAACAGCUCACUAGUCGAGGAGUCGGGCGUGGAUAAUAAUCGGGUAUUAAGUUGUCUACCGAAGCAGUGGGAUCAUUAAUAUGAUCGGUAGGGGAGCAUUCCAGUCGGCGUCGAAGGCGUACCGUGAGGUAUUCUGGAGCGUCUGGAAAAGCAAAUGUAGGUAUAAGUAACGAUAAAGGGGGCGGGAAACCCCCUCGCCGAAAGACUAAGGUUUCCUGAUCAACGCUAAUCGGAUCAGGGUCAGUCGGGUCCUAAGGCUCAGCCGAACGGCGAUGCCGAUGGCAGAAACGGUUAAUAUUCCGUUACUACCUUCAGGAGUGACGUGGAGACGCAGUAGUGACAGUGCCGCCAUCUGACGGAAUAGAUGGUUGAAGGGUGUAGGAGUCGAUCAUGGCAGGCAAAUCCACCAUGAGAUCCGAACCUGACAGUAUGCCGCGUCCUUCGGGACAAGGCAAUAGUGCGCGUAAGCAUGCUGCCGAGAAAAUCCGCUAAACUUAAUCCUGCAGGUACCCGUACCGCAAACGGACACACGUAGUCGGGAUGAAUAUUCUAAGGCGCUUGAGUGAUUCACGGUUAAGGAACUAGGCAAACUGACCCUGUAACUUCGGGAUAAAGGGUCCCUACCCUUUUAUGGGAGGGCGCAGAGAAUCGGUCCAGGCAACUGUUUAACAAAAACACAGGGCUGUGCCAAAUCGAAAGAUCCAGUAUACAGCCUGACACCUGCCCGGUGCUGGAAGGUUAAGAGGAGAUGUCAUCGAUAAGAGAAGCGUUGAAUUGAAGCCCCAGUAAACGGCGGCCGUAACUAUAACGGUCCUAAGGUAGCGAAAUUCCUUGUCGGGUAAGUUCCGACCUGCACGAAUGGUGUAAUGAUCUGGACGCUGUCUCAACCGUGAGCUCAGUGAAAUUGUAGUAUCGGUGAAGAUGCCGAUUACCCGCGAUGGGACGAAAAGACCCCGUGAACCUUUACUAUAGCUUAUCAUUGAAUCUGGGCACGUGAUGUGUAGGAUAGGUCGGAGGCUUUGAAGCAGGUACGCCAGUAUUUGUGGAGCCGCUGUUGAAAUACGACCCUUUAUUUGUUUGGAUUCUAACCCGUGGANNNNNNNNNNNNNNNNNNNNNNNNNNNNNNNNNNNNNNNNNNNNNCGGGGACAUUGAUUGGUGGGUAGUUUGACUGGGGUGGUCGCCUCCAAAAGCGUAACGGAGGCUUCUAAAGGUGCCCUCCGGCCGAUUGGUAACCGGCCUUAGAGUGUAAUGGCAUAAGGGCGCUUGACUGGGAGACUAACAAGUCGAUCAGGUAGGAAACUAGAGCAUAGUGAUCCGGUGUUUCCGUAUGGAAGGGACAUCGCUCAAAGGAUAAAAGGUACUCCGGGGAUAACAGGCUGAUCCCUCCCAAGAGCUCAUAUCGACGGAGUGGUUUGGCACCUCGAUGUCGGCUCGUCACAUCCUGGGGCUGGAGAAGGUCCCAAGGGUUGGGCUGUUCGCCCAUUAAAGUGGCACGCGAGCUGGGUUCAGAACGUCGUGAGACAGUUCGGUCUCUAUCUAUCGUGGGCGUAUGAAAUUUGCGUGGCUCUGACACUAGUACGAGAGGACCGUGUUGGACAGACCUCUGGUUUGCCGGUUGUGCCGCCAGGUGCAUUGCCGGGUAUCUAAGUCUGGAUCGGAUAAGUGCUGAAAGCAUCUAAGUACGAAGCCGGCCACAAGAUUAGAUUUCUCAGGGUCGUUGUAGACUACGACGUUGAUAGGAUGCAGGUGUAAAGGUAGAGAUACCAAAGCCGAGCAUUACUAAUUGCCCGUUCACUUUCCUUA
Molecule: ribosomal RNA, 2937 nt
Filed under: Phocaeicola vulgatus
Lineage: Bacteria; Pseudomonadati; Bacteroidota; Bacteroidia; Bacteroidales; Bacteroidaceae
Description: Bacteroides vulgatus 23S ribosomal RNA
Rfam family: Bacterial large subunit ribosomal RNA
Source: RNAcentral